CAAUAGCGUAUAUUUAAGUUGUUGCAGUUAAAAAGCUCGUAGUUGGAUUUCGGAUGGGAUUUGCCGUUCCGUCGUUACGAUGUGCACUGGCCAGUCCUAUCUUGUUGUCGGGGACUAGCUCCUUGGAUUCACUUCCUGGGACUAGGAGCUGACGAGGUUACUUUGAGUAAAUUAGAGUGUUCAAAGCAAGCCUACGCUCUGAAUACAUUAGCAUGGAAUAACACGAUAGGACUCUGGCUUAUCUUGUUGGUCUGUGAGACCAGAGUAAUGAUUAAGAGGGACAGUCGGGGACAUUCGUAUUUCAUUGUCAGAGGUGAAAUUCUUGGAUUUAUGAAAGACGAACUUCUGCGAAAGCAUUUGUCAAGGAUGUUUUCAUUAA
This 379-nucleotide ribosomal RNA is filed under the name uncultured eukaryote. RNAcentral's name for it is "partial 18S ribosomal RNA". It matches the Rfam family "Eukaryotic small subunit ribosomal RNA", at positions 592 to 976 of the family's 1831-position model. The record is from RNAcentral.